CUUGGUCAUUUAGAGGAAGUAAAAGUCGUAACAAGGUUUCCGUAGGUGAACCUGCGGAAGGAUCAUUACAAAUUUCAUGUGUUGUGUCGUGUGCAGGCGGCCGCAAGGCUUUCUGCUCACACGAACACACCAAUUUACGCUUGUUGUGUUUGACAGAUUUAUAUGUGACUUAAAAAUAGACAACUUUUAACAAUGGAUCUCUUGGCUCUUGCAACGAUGAAGAACGCAGUAAAGUGCGAUAUCUAGUGCGAUUUGCAUGAAUCUGUGAGUCAUCGAGUCUUUGAACGCAACUUGCGCCCAGCAAUGGGCAUGUCUGUUUGAGUACCGCAAAACCAUCUGUUCUCUGCGAAGAGGGCGAAUUGGGUCCGUGCGUAUGCUUGUCAUAUGCGGGGCCUGGAAUGCAGUAAGAAGGUGCCGCCGACGGAGGCCCUGCUGUGUGCUAUAAACACAAUUUUGUGUUUGGUCGCAGUGGGUGCCGCUGUCUGCGGACACAAUCUGCUAUUUUUUAUUUGGUCUCAAAUCAGGCAGGACUACCCGCUGAACUUAAGCAUAUCAAUAAGCGGAGGA
Molecule: ribosomal RNA, 567 nt
Filed under: uncultured fungus
Lineage: Eukaryota; Fungi
Description: eukaryotic LSU rRNA
Rfam family: 5.8S ribosomal RNA (bases 182-327)
Source: RNAcentral